Molecule: ribosomal RNA, 468 nt
Filed under: uncultured bacterium
Lineage: Bacteria
Description: partial 16S ribosomal RNA
Rfam family: Bacterial small subunit ribosomal RNA
Source: RNAcentral
GACGAACGCUGGCGGCGUGCUUAACACAUGCAAGUCGAACGGAAAGGCCCUGCUUUUGUUGGGUGCUCGAGUGGCGAACGGGUGAGUAACACGUGAGUAACCUGCCCUUGACUUUGGGAUAACUUCAGGAAACUGGGGCUAAUACCGGAUAGGAGCUCCUGUUGCAUGGUGGGGGUUGGAAAGUUUCGGCGGUUGGGGAUGGACUCGCGGCUUAUCAGCUUGUUGGUGGGGUAGUGGCUUACCAAGGCUGUGACGGGUAGCCGGCCGGAGAGGGUGACCGGCCACAUGGGGCCUGAGAUACGGCCCAGACUCCUACGUGAGGCAGCAGGGGGGAAUAUUGCACAAUGGGCGGAAGCCUGAUGCAGCAACGCCGCGGGCGUGAUGACGGCCUGCGGGGUGUAAACCGCUUUCGCCUGUGACGAAGCGUUAGUGACGGUAAUGGGUAAAGAAGCACCGGCUAACUACGUG